UUGGGAAUCUUGCACAAUGGGGGAAACCCUGAUGCAGCGACGCCGCGUGGAGGACGAAGGCCUUAGGGUCGUAAACUCCUUUUGCACGGAAAGACUUAGGACGGUACCGUGCGAAUAAGCCCCGGCUAACUACGUGCCAGCAGCCGCGGUAAGACGUAGGGGGCAAGCGUUGUCCGGAUUUACUGGGCGUAAAGCGCUCGUAGGCGGUCUGUUAAGUGAGAAGUGAAAUCUCCAGCGCUCAACGCGGAAAUUGCUUUUCAUACUGGCAGACUGGAGGAAUGCAGAGGUAAGUGGAAUUCCCGGUGUAGCGGUGACAUGCAUUGAUAUCGGGAGGAACACCAAUGGCGAAGGCAGCUUACUGGGCAUUUCCUGACGCUGAGGAGCGAAAGCGUGGGUAGCAAACAGA
This 406-nucleotide ribosomal RNA is filed under the name uncultured bacterium. RNAcentral describes it as "bacterial SSU rRNA". It matches the Rfam family "Bacterial small subunit ribosomal RNA", at positions 355 to 776 of the family's 1533-position model. The record is from RNAcentral.